GCUAAUACAGUGCAUUCGUCGCCGGAGAAUGAUGUUGCAUUUCACCCAAGUGGAAAUUUCUUGGUGACUGGCGGCGAUGACGAUACAAUAAGAUUGCUUGAUUUAUUAGGUCGGCCAAUUUAUACACGGUAGUAGGGCACUUUAGCGGAACCAGGUCAAAAUGGACGGGAAAAUUAUACACUAACUGGCUACUAAGUUUGCGCUGUCGCUUUCUCUCCACAUGGUAGACAUUUUGCUUCCGCGGGCGAGGAUCGACAGUUGCUCGUUUGGAAAUCUAAUUUGCGUACGUUUGAUGCCAAUAGCGCUCGCAACAAACAAGCCAGUUCUCAAAGAGUCCAAAUUGAUUUUAGUCAUGCAACUGCUCCACAUAACUCCGCCAUAGACACACACCAGUUUCUGGAGUACCAAAAAGCUGUGAUGAAGGUAUUUUAAUUGAUCCACGACAAUCCGUGGCAUAUGGAAUGCGUGAUGGAAAAUUUCUGGUGCUUGAUAGCCAAUAUACUACAAGAGAACCAUCUCCAAUCAACUUUACCACACCACAUUGUCAGUAACAUAAGCAACAGCAGUACCUCGUUUCUACACAUGCCAAACAAAAAUUUCGUUCGCGCUUAACUGCUUGGAAGGCUGCUGAUGACUCUUCAUAGAAAAUGCAUUGUUUGUAAUUUAUUAAAUAUGAUGUGUACAUACUUAUGUAUUUCUGUUUGUAUUUUAAACUAUGUACGUUAACAAUUUACAUUGUAUUAAAUUAUUACUUGAACACGU
Molecule: long non-coding RNA, 762 nt
Organism: Rhagoletis pomonella (apple maggot)
Lineage: Eukaryota; Metazoa; Arthropoda; Insecta; Diptera; Tephritidae
Exons: 3
Source: RefSeq, a predicted model, not a curated record